AGAUCUGUAAGCUCAAAACGGAAGAGCGAUCAGAGCAUAUCAGUUAUGUUCUGGUAGGAUGGUGGUUCGAAUCCACCCUGAUCUG
Molecule: transfer RNA, 85 nt
Filed under: Phaseolus vulgaris (common bean)
Lineage: Eukaryota; Viridiplantae; Streptophyta; Magnoliopsida; Fabales; Fabaceae
Rfam family: tRNA
About the family: Transfer RNA (tRNA) molecules are approximately 80 nucleotides in length.
Source: Rfam by way of RNAcentral